GACGAACGCUGGCGGCGUGCUUAACACAUGCAAGUCGAACGGACAGACAGAGAGCUUGCUCUCUUGAAGUUAGUGGCGAACGGGUGAGUAACGCGCAAUCAACCUGCCCUUCAGAGGGGGAUAACAACGGGAAACCGUUGCUAAUACCGCGUACGAUUCAUGAACGGCAUCGUUUAUGAAUGAAAGGUGGCCUCUAUGUAUAAGCUAUCGCUGAGGGAGGGGAUUGCGUCUGAUUAGCUAGUUGGAGGGGUAACGGCCCACCAAGGCAAUGAUCAGUAGCCGGUCUGAGAGGAUGAACGGCCAAAUUGGGACUGAGACACGGCCCAAACUCCUACGGGAGGCAGCAGUGGGGAAUCUUCCGCAAUGGACGAAAGUCUGACGGAGCUACGCCGCGUGAGUGAUGAAGGUCUUCGGAUUGUAAAGCUCUGUUAAUCGGGACGAAAGAGUUCUGCGUGAAUAAUGCAGAAAAGUGACGGUACCGGAAUAGAAAGCCACGGCUAACUACGUGCCAGCAGCCGCAGUAA
Molecule: ribosomal RNA, 524 nt
Filed under: uncultured bacterium
Lineage: Bacteria
Description: partial 16S ribosomal RNA
Rfam family: Bacterial small subunit ribosomal RNA
Source: RNAcentral